AUCGUGUGAAAAUGAAGAGACACAACCCAUAUUGUUGCCAUAAGUAAUACAAAAAUAUAAUAAAUAAUUCAGUGGUGUUACAUAAAAUAACGGAACAAAUGUCAAAAUAUAAAACUGAGAAAAAACUAACUUAAAUUCUACUCUGGGAAACUUUAUUUAACAAAACAAAAUCAUAAAUUCUGCAGUACUUAGAUACGCCGUUACAAGUCUCUACGAAAGUUAAAUGUUUAAGUUGAGUGUAAUUUACAAUUGAAUAUGUCUUUGCAGCCAUAAAUAUUUGAAAAUGUUUUUGUAUAUACAUAUAUUAUGUGUUAGUCAUAAUACUUCUCGCAACUUCAAAAAAAGUUACGCAAAUCGACGUACCUAUACGUUUAUGGGUGAAAAUGUAUCAUUCGAAAAUUCUACAAAUAGACACAUGAUAUAUAACCUCAAGCGCACCUCAUAAUUCGCAAGAGACUCCAACGGAAAUUUCCAAUAAUGUCAAAUUUGCAUGUUUGUUUUUGUUAUAAGUAAUUUUUAGAUUGUUUUAUUCGAAAAUUUCAAAAAAAUUCUAAGAAAAUUUAAUGCCGUUAAGUGGUGGAACGAUAUAAAAUCAGCAAUGAAUUCCAUCGGUCUACGGAGCGUCGCAUACAUAAUGCUAGUUGUUUGAAAAUUUACUGCCUUAGCUGAAAGUCAAUGAAAAAAGAAAUAAGUCAAGAAAUACAAGGUAUUUUAGAUAAGAGUGUAAUAAAGAAAUAAAGUGAACAACUGUUUUUUUUUUUUUGAGAAAUACACAUGGGUACUCAAAGAGAGAGGGGGGGAGGCUUGAAUUUCAUACUACUCUAUUACAAGUGAAGUGCAAGUACUUAGUUCAACGCUAGAAGGCAGCUGCUUUAAGGGUUAAGUGCCGAAUUGAUCAAGGAUUCAGUUAAAUUAAUGAAAUGAGCAUGAAAUGAAAUGCUGAAAUGUAACCGCAUAUACAUACAUACAUAUAUAAAUAUAAGAAAAUCACCUUAAGGGAGGGGCAUACUCACAUGUUACUAAAUGGCAGUAUUACGAAAUGAUAUGCGUAUGUAAGGAGAAAACAUGUAAAUAUAGACAUACGACACAGCUUCACAACUUAACAACCAGAUAAUUGAUAACCUUUCACAACGCCCUGCCAAAAUUAGGGAUGAAAUUUAAUUUUAUUCUCCCUUAUUUCUUAUUCAAAAAGGUGUCUUAGAACUCACAAAUAGCCAGCUUGGCAUGUUGCACUUGCAUUUUUGCGUCAUUAUCUGCUUGCUUGUCUUACAUGUAGAUACGAUUACGAUUGUGUACAUAUGUACAUACCAAUAUGUGGUAUGUGGGUGUAUGCGUAGUUACGUUUUGUGAGAAAAGUCGACCAGAAAUACGGUAAAUAACUUUAUCAAACAUAUUAUCUUAUUUAUAAGCAUUAUCGUGCCGUGUGUUCUUUUACUUGAUUAUUUUAUUUUUAAAGGUUUCCCUCUCCCUAUCUAUGAAAAUUUUACUUAACACACGACAGCAACAUCAGAAACACAGAAAAAUUUCCAUUAAAAUUUAAGAUAUCAUGCAGUUGUGGUUUUAGUAGAGAAAGUGUAGGAAUUGCACAAGGUGCUGAGGAAGGAAGGUGCUUAAAGUGGCUCAACUCAACAAUUUUUUGCGCAUACAAUAAAAAGGUGAAACCAAAUUUAAAUCAAAUGUCGCUUGACAGACAUAAUAUUAAGCAAACAUUUCAAACAACUAAAUAAAGAGUGAAAUUACACACGGACAUAGGUGAAUGUGUAUAUGUGAAUAAAUAUGUUUGGCAACUUCAGAGUUGCUUGCAAAUCUCAUACUAAGAAGACAAAUUUCAAAAAAUUGUGCGGUGUUUUGAAAAAAUUUACAGUUUCAUGCUGAAAAGUUCUGAAAAUAAUUUAAAACUAUUUUUAUUAAAAAAAACAAUCGUGAUAUAAAAUUAUGUGAAUAUGUGCAUAAUAUAUGUGAAGAAAAACAAUUUAAGGCUUUGUAGUAAAAAAAAAUAAUAUAUAACAACACUAUUUUUAUAAAAUAACAACCAAAAAUAUUUCUUUUUAAAUAAAUUUAAAAAAAGUGCUGAAAAUCUGCUGAAAUAUCAUUAAAAUCUACCAGCUACUUCAAUGCUAGCUGACGUUCGCGCUAUCGCAAGGCAUUCGACGUUCGACUCCAUUUUGAAAAAUAAAACAAAGAUGGUUGCGAUAAGGUAGAAUAAAUAAUAAUGACAAAUAAAAAUCAAAAAACUAAACCUAAGUAAUAUAAAACCAAUAAAAUACACGGGCAUAGCAUACGAGUAUGAGUAUAAUAACAACGGCUGAAGCAAACGAUGAAAGCCACGAAACGAAAAAUUGUAUAUGAAAUCAAAUAAAAAAUGAAAUAUUGUGACUACUGUUGGCGCAAUCGCUUUCGUACUUGACGGCCACCUUUGCUUUGCGCCAUAGCAGUUCAAGUGACAGCUCGUUAACGAUGACAACAACACGAGAAUAACGUCCUACCGCGCCUAACCAACGCCCUACAUACAGCCGACUAUCGACACAAACACACACACUCUCUCUCCCAUUGAGCUGCGUAUUUUUAUAUGCACAGCAAGCAGCACUUCAAACGGCAACCAACCCCAAAUGCGUGGCUGCCAAUGUAAGCUCUGCAAAUACCUGCUUGGUAGAUGGCAUGGUCGUAUGGUUGUGCCGUUGGUAGGCGUUUACGUACGAAUAUAUUGUCGACUGUUCCCCUCAUCCUUCGCGCCACUUUGCUUGAGUGCGGCAAUAAUUGAAAGAGUUUAUGGCUGUCACAAAGCACUAACGGACUUAUUACAUUAUGGCAUUAUGACAUUUCUGUUAUAAAUAGUUAAAAAAAAGACUUCACCAAAUGGAAUUUCCUUAAUAAUUAUUGCGGAAAUUAUAUGAAGUACCUUGGCGUUGGGGUGCGAUUACCUAAAUUCUAGUGAAGCUCGUUCACUCCGUCUUCACCACAGCUUCGCGUUCGUAUUUUCGUUCGUAUUCAUGCAAAUCGAAGAGGUUUUGCUGAUGCUGCAGAUGCAAGGCCAUCGAUUGUGCGUUGGCAUGUUGCUGGUGAUGAUGGUGCAGCUCAAUCAUCAAUUCGUCAUCUUCCAUUGAUGGACUGCGACUGAGCGCCACAUCUUGUGCCAGCAAAUGGGAGUUGUGCGAGUGUUGGUGGUGGUGUUGUUGUUGUUGUUGAAUACGAAUAUCCUCAUCGUGGAGCGGCACCAAUUCACCGAAAGUCGAAUGCGCCGGCGACACUGAACCAGCUGGACUAUGCGGUUCAAUUGAUUGUUGUUGAUGUUGUUGAUGUUGUUGCUGCUGCUGCUGAAGGUAAUGUUGAUGAUAUUGUAGCGGACUGCACAUAUUGUUCAAAUGCUGUUGUUGGUCAUAUUGCAGCUGAUGUUUGUGCAUCAAUUGUUGAAAUAUUUGUUGUCUUUGCUGUUGCUCCUGCAGUGGUGAUAAUUGCUGAUGUAAUGGCAGCUGUUGUUGUUGCUGAUGAUGCGUUGGCGUCGUCGGUGUGGUCGGCGUAGUCGGCGUUGGUGGCAUCGAUACCGUUGUGGAGGGAGACGAAUGUGGUGGCAUCAGAUGCAUAAGUUGUUGUGUCAUUAAUUGUUGCUGUUGCUGUUGCUGUUGCUGCUGUUGUUGAUGGCGCGGAGAAUGUGCUGUAUGAUGUUGUUGCUGCUGUUGGAUGUUCUGUAAUUGUUGUGAUUGAAUACCAUGACGAAGGCGAGUUGUAAUCAUUACCUGUAUUGUGUCCUUCUUCAUGUUCAAGGGACGUUUCACGCUGUGCAAUUUGAAGUAGAGUCCGCAGGCAUUGCAAACGGGCUCACCGCUGGGAUUGCGACGCCAGAGAGAGGUGUGUGUGGUGAGGCAAUUCGAGCAGGAAAGACCGACACGACGGGAUGCACUCUAAAUAUGAUAAACACAAUUAGUAUAUUAAAUUUGAAGAGUUAAGCGUAUAAGAGUUACUUCCAACAUUGCAGAUAUUAAACAUUUGCAAAUUUAUUAAAAAAUACAUUAUAUACGAAAUUGAUUGACUUUAAUUUUCAAAAAAAAAAAAUAUUUAUUUUAAAAAUUGCAAUUU
Long non-coding RNA from Zeugodacus cucurbitae (melon fly), 4074 nucleotides. RefSeq lists it as uncharacterized. The transcript has 3 exons. The record is from RefSeq and is a predicted model, not a curated record. Lineage: Eukaryota; Metazoa; Arthropoda; Insecta; Diptera; Tephritidae.